RNAcentral lists this non-coding RNA (24 nucleotides) under Arabidopsis thaliana (thale cress). Lineage: Eukaryota; Viridiplantae; Streptophyta; Magnoliopsida; Brassicales; Brassicaceae. The record is from RNAcentral.
GGGCUUACACAGAUCGGCAUAUUU